CGCAGAAGCGAGAUGGGAGU
This 20-nucleotide small nuclear RNA is filed under the name Arabidopsis thaliana (thale cress). RNAcentral describes it as "snRNA_03821". Lineage: Eukaryota; Viridiplantae; Streptophyta; Magnoliopsida; Brassicales; Brassicaceae. The record is from RNAcentral.